Molecule: ribosomal RNA, 258 nt
Filed under: uncultured bacterium
Lineage: Bacteria
Description: partial 16S ribosomal RNA
Rfam family: Bacterial small subunit ribosomal RNA
Source: RNAcentral
UACGGAGGGGGCAAGCGUUGUUCGGAAUUACUGGGCGUAAAGGGCGCGCAGGCGGCUGCUCAAGUCAGGCGUGAAAGGCCUGGGCUCAACCCGGGAAUUGCGCUUGAGACUGGGCUGGCUUGAGUGCGGGAGAGGAUGGUGGAAUUCCCAGUGUAGCAGUGAAAUGCGUAGAGGAUCGGGAGGAACAUCUGUGGCGGAAGGCGGCCACCUGGGACCAACACUGACACUGAGGCACGAAAGCGUGGGGAGGCAAACAGG